UUCGUUCGUAUACAAGCGGUUGGGACUGAGGAACUCAGCACGCCGAAAGGCCGGGUUUUUAACCACGUACGUGCUUAGGAUGCUGGCAUAAUGGCUUUAAUCGA
This 104-nucleotide ribosomal RNA is filed under the name Hydropus sp. RNAcentral's name for it is "partial large subunit ribosomal RNA". The record is from RNAcentral. Lineage: Eukaryota; Fungi; Basidiomycota; Agaricomycetes; Agaricales; Mycenaceae.